GAAACUGCCUGAUGGAGGGGGAUAACUACUGGAAACGGUAGCUAAUACCGCAUAACGUCGCAAGCACAAAGAGGGGGACCUUAGGGCCUCUUGCCAUCGGAUGUGCCCAGAUGGGAUUAGCUAGUAGGUGGGGUAACGGCUCACCUAGGCGACGAUCCCUAGCUGGUCUGAGAGGAUGACCAGCAACACUGGAACUGAGACACGGUCCAGACUCCUACGGGAGGCAGCAGUGGGGAAUAUUGCACAAUGGGCGCAAGCCUGAUGCAGCCAUGCCGCGUGUAUGAAGAAGGCCUUCGGGUUGUAAAGUACUUUCAGCGGGGAGGAAGGGAGUAAAGUUAAUACCUUUGCUCAUU
Molecule: ribosomal RNA, 353 nt
Filed under: Escherichia coli
Lineage: Bacteria; Pseudomonadati; Pseudomonadota; Gammaproteobacteria; Enterobacterales; Enterobacteriaceae
Description: bacterial SSU rRNA
Rfam family: Bacterial small subunit ribosomal RNA
Source: RNAcentral